UACGUAGGGGGCAAGCGUUAUCCGGAUUUACUGGGUGUAAAGGGAGCGCAGACGGUGGUACAAGUCUGAAGUGAAAUCCCUCGGCUCAACUGAGGAAUUGCUUUGGAAACUAUACGACUUGAGUGCUGGAGAGGUAAGCGGAAUUCCUGGUGUAGCGGUGAAAUGCGUAGAUAUCAGGAAGAACAUCAGUGGCGAAGGCGGCUUACUGGACAGUAACUGACGUUGAGGCUCGAAAGCGUGGGGAGCAAAC
This 250-nucleotide ribosomal RNA is filed under the name uncultured prokaryote. RNAcentral's name for it is "partial 16S ribosomal RNA". It matches the Rfam family "Bacterial small subunit ribosomal RNA", at positions 524 to 773 of the family's 1533-position model. The record is from RNAcentral.